UAUCUUCCCAUAGCCCAUGAGACCCCUCGGGGCGUGACACCCUUCUCGAUGGUCCCCGGCACCCCUCCCGGCACUCCCGAUACACUACCGAUGGGCCCGAAACUUUUCCGGUAAUGCCCGAAAACUUUUCGGUAACCAAAUGAGGUCAUCCUAUAUAUCAAUCUUUGUCUCCAGACCAUUCUAGAAACCCUCGUGACGUCCGUGAUCCCAUCCGGGACUCCGAACAACAGUC
Molecule: long non-coding RNA, 232 nt
Filed under: Hordeum vulgare
Lineage: Eukaryota; Viridiplantae; Streptophyta; Magnoliopsida; Poales; Poaceae
Description: long non-coding RNA (HVUL_LNC016930)
Source: RNAcentral